RNAcentral lists this ribosomal RNA (403 nucleotides) under uncultured bacterium. RNAcentral describes it as "partial 16S ribosomal RNA". It matches the Rfam family "Bacterial small subunit ribosomal RNA", at positions 30 to 526 of the family's 1533-position model. The record is from RNAcentral.
AUUGAACGCUGGCGGCAGGCCUAACACAUGCAAGUCGAGCGAUCGGCGGACGGGUGAGUAAUGUAUGGGGACUGCCCGAUAGAGGGGGAUAACUACUGGAAACGGUAGCUAAUACCGCAUACUAUCGGAUAACCCAUAUGGGAUUAGCUAGUAGGUGAGAUACUGGCUCACCUAGGGGACGAUCCCUAGCUGGUCUGAGAGGAUGAUACGCCAAACGGGGACGGAGACACGGCCAAGAAUCCGACGGAGGCAGCAGUGGUGAAUAUUGCACAAUGGUCGCAAUCCUGAUGCAGCAAUGCCGCGUGUAUGAAGAAGGCAUUCGGGUGGUAAAGUACUUUCAGCGGGGAGGCGUUACCCGAAGAAGAAGCACCGGCUAACUCCGUGCCAGCAGCCGCGGUAAUUC